UGUCUCAGUUCGGAUUGGAGUCUGCAACCCGACUCCAUGAAGCUGGAUUCGCUAGUAAUCGCGCAUCAGCCACGGCGCGGUGAAUACGUUCCCGGGCCUUGUACACACCGCCCGUCAAGCCAUGGAAGCCGGGGGUGCCUGAAGUGCGCUGCCGCAAGGAGCGCCCUAGGGUAAAACCGGUGACUGGGGCUAAGUCGUAACAAGGUAGC
This 209-nucleotide ribosomal RNA is filed under the name uncultured bacterium. RNAcentral describes it as "partial 16S ribosomal RNA". It matches the Rfam family "Bacterial small subunit ribosomal RNA", at positions 1284 to 1500 of the family's 1533-position model. The record is from RNAcentral.